Molecule: ribosomal RNA, 717 nt
Filed under: Calliandra haematocephala (red powder-puff)
Lineage: Eukaryota; Viridiplantae; Streptophyta; Magnoliopsida; Fabales; Fabaceae
Description: eukaryotic LSU rRNA
Rfam family: 5.8S ribosomal RNA (bases 289-444)
Source: RNAcentral
CCGCUGCCGGCGACGUCGCGAGAAGUCCACUGAACCUUAUCAUUUAGAGGAAGGAGAAGUCGUAACAAGGUUUCCGUAGGUGAACCUGCGGAAGGAUCAUUGCCGAUUCCGCACCGAAAGAGCGACCCGCGAACCGGUUGGAAAGGACCUCCCAUAGGGGGAGGGCUGGGGCGCGCCCGAGGCCUCCCCCGACAACCAAACCCCGGCGCCACAGGCGCCAAGGAACAGCAACGAAGCAAGGCGCGCUCGCGGGCUCCGCCCGUGAAGCCGCCGUGUCACAUCCGAAACGACUCUCGGCAACGGAUAUCUCGGCUCUCGCAUCGAUGAAGAACGUAGCGAAAUGCGAUACUUGGUGUGAAUUGCAGAAUCCCGUGAACCAUCGAGUCUUUGAACGCAAGUUGCGCCCGAAGCCUUUAGGCUGAGGGCACGUCUGCCUGGGUGUCACGCAGCGUCGCCACCGCCCAAUCACGUGGGCUUGGCGGAUGAUGGCCUCCCGGGAGCCUCGCCUCCCGGCUGGCCGAAAAAGGGGCCCAACGUGACGGCCGCCACGAUCCACGGUGGUUGAGUGAGCACUCGCUCGAGCCGGGUCGCGCGCGCGCCGUGCCGAGGCAGUGGCCCGCCAGCAAGGUCGCUCUGGACCUUAGCCCGACACUCGUACGCGACCCCAGGUCAGGCGGGGCUACCCGCUGAGUUUAAGCAUAUCAAUAAGCGGAGGAA